AACGAACGCUGGCGGCAUGCCUAACACAUGCAAGUCGAACGAGACCUUCGGGUCUAGUGGCGCACGGGUGCGUAACGCGUGGGAACCUGCCCUUAGGUUCGGAAUAACUCCCCGAAAGGGGUGCUAAUACCGGAUAAUGUCUUCGGACCAAAGAUUUAUCGCCUUUGGAUGGGCCCGCGUUGGAUUAGCUAGUUGGUAGGGUAAAAGCCUACCAAGGCGACGAUCCAUAGCUGGUCUGAGAGGAUGAUCAGCCACACUGGGACUGAGACACGGCCCAGACUCCUACGGGAGGCAGCAGUGGGGAAUAGUGGACAAUGGGCGAAAGCCUGAUCCAGCAAGGCCGGGUGAGUGAUGAAGGCCUUAGGGUUGUAAAGCUCUUUUACCCGGGAUGAUAAUGACAGUACCGGGAGAAUAAGCUCCGGCUAACUCCGUG
Molecule: ribosomal RNA, 433 nt
Filed under: uncultured bacterium
Lineage: Bacteria
Description: partial 16S ribosomal RNA
Rfam family: Bacterial small subunit ribosomal RNA
Source: RNAcentral